Molecule: ribosomal RNA, 784 nt
Filed under: Cladophialophora sp. 2-NN-2017
Lineage: Eukaryota; Fungi; Ascomycota; Eurotiomycetes; Chaetothyriales; Herpotrichiellaceae
Description: eukaryotic LSU rRNA
Rfam family: 5.8S ribosomal RNA (bases 453-607)
Source: RNAcentral
GGUGAUCUGCAGCCAAGUCCGUAGUACUUAGGUGCCGGAUGCUGUUCACAGGCCAAAUGGUGGUGGGUUGAUUCGGGAGAAUCAGCUUAAGAUAUGGUCGGGCCCCCUGGGAAACCUUGGGAGUAGUCACCAAACAGUCAAAUUCAGGCGGGGGAGCGAAAAAGUGCAAAGCUCCCAGUCACAGGCGACUGAACAUAGCUAUGGGGGCUAUGCAGUACUUUAAAUUGUUCCGUAGGUGAACCUGCGGAAGGAUCAUUAACGAGUUAGGGUCUCUCCAGGCCCGACCUCCCAACCCUUUGUUUACCGAACCUCUGUUGCUUCGGCGGACCCGUCUCACGGCCGCCGGGGGACCGCCGACAGGCGUCCUCUGGCCAGCGUCCGUCGAUAGCCAAACAUUUAAACCCUGAAUAAAUCGUGUCUUGUGUCUAAGUCUAUGAUUAAAUCAAAAACAAAACUUUCAACAACGGAUCUCUUGGUUCUGGCAUCGAUGAAGAACGCAGCGAAAUGCGAUAAGUAAUGCGAAUUGCAGAAUUCCAGUGAGUCAUCGAAUCUUUGAACGCACAUUGCGCCCUUUGGUAUUCCGAAGGGCAUGCCUGUUCGAGCGUCAUUAUCACCCCUCAAGCCCCGUGCUUGGUGUUGGACGGGUUGGUCGGGGCUUGCCCUCGACCCGUCCUAAAGACAAUGACGGCGGCCUGUGGUUCCCCCGGUACACUGAGCUUCUUAAACCGAGCACGUACCGGAUGAGGGCGCCCGGGCCACGGUCCUCUCCUUUCACCAGGAAUCU